GCACCGGUGGUCUAAUGGUAAGACAUUGGCCUUCCAAGCCAAUUAUCUGGGUUCGAUUCCCAGCCGGUGCACCA
Molecule: transfer RNA, 74 nt
Filed under: Haloferax volcanii
Lineage: Archaea; Methanobacteriati; Methanobacteriota; Halobacteria; Halobacteriales; Haloferacaceae
Description: tdbR00000109
Rfam family: tRNA
About the family: Transfer RNA (tRNA) molecules are approximately 80 nucleotides in length. Their secondary structure includes four short double-helical elements and three loops (D, anti-codon, and T loops).
Source: RNAcentral